GACGAACGCUGGCGGCGUGCUUAACACAUGCAAGUCGAACGGAAAGGCCCCUUUGGGGGUACUCGAGUGGCGAACGGGUGCGUAACACGUGAGUAACCUGCCCUUGACUUCGGGAUAACUUCAGGAAACUGGGGCUAAUACCGGAUAGGAAUCCUUGCUGCAUGGUGGGGGUUGGAAAGCUUCGGCGGUUUUGGAUGGACUCGCGGCUUAUCAGCUUGUUGGUGGGGUAGUGGCUUACCAAGGCUUUGACGGGUAGCCGGCCUGAGAGGGCGACCGGCCACAUUGGGACUGAGAUAAGGCCCAGACUCCUACGGGAGGCAGCAGGGGGGAAUAUUGCACAAUGGGCGGAAGCCUGAUGCAGCAACGCCGCGUGCGGGAUGACGGCCUUCGGGUUGUAAACCGCUUUCAGCAGGGGCGAAGCUUGUGGUGACGGUACCUGCAGAAGAAGCACCGGCUAACUACGUG
This 465-nucleotide ribosomal RNA is filed under the name uncultured bacterium. RNAcentral describes it as "partial 16S ribosomal RNA". It matches the Rfam family "Bacterial small subunit ribosomal RNA", at positions 28 to 507 of the family's 1533-position model. The record is from RNAcentral.